CUCGGGUGCGGCCCCAGAAAAGGCAAAAAGACAAAAAGACCAAAACAAAACAAAACCCCACAAAAUGCCCCUUCAUUCUUCGUCUUGCCGGAAUGGCUCUGUUGGGGAUUGUUCUUCGGCCUGUGGCAGUCGUGUCUUGCCAAGCCCUUUUUCGGGAUACACAUGUCUAGGGGAGAGGCAAUAUUCUGCAAGAAUUAAUCGUAACAUCUUAGCAAGAUUCCUUAGCAAGAUUCCGUAGAGGGAAUGAAGGAGUGGCUUUUGUAACAAGAGAAGGGAUGUUCAUUUUUCGUUGCUUUGCAAUCUCACACCUUGCAGUUGCAUUCUUUGUUUCCCCCACCUUGUUUGAGCAGUCUAAUCAGUACCCAUCCAAGAAGCCUCACUUCAGGAGAGAGAAAUAUUAUGCACAGUAAAAGCUUCCUCCAGCAGCCUUUGCAAGGAUCUCACACCCAAUUGCUUCUGAAGAUGCUGAGACACCGAUUCGGCUUCCAUCAUGGUACCGGAGGCCUGCAGGGAUGAGCGGUUCUCAUCUUCCCGGAAGAAAAAAAAGAAGUAUGUUCAAGGGAUGAGUUAGCCACGUUGCCAGGCAGAAGAGGGGAUGAAAAGGAAAGAAUGCCUGCCAUGAGAUGUUGAGAGAAAAUAAGAGGAUCAAACAUCAAAAAACUUCCGAGGCAACUACCGCAAAUGUGGAGCCCACGGUCACACGCGUCAAGAAAUCUUAAGCAGGGGAUUUAGUUUAAAGUGGGUCUGGACUGAUUGUUUAGAGAAUAUAGAGUUAAAGAAUAUGAACAUCCAAACUGACUUUCAACUUGGAGAAUUGACUACAACCUUCCCAAAGUCUCCACUACUGCCGUUGUUACCUUCCUGGAAUCUCACAGAGACAGCCUGUCUUGGAAGCCAAAGUUGGGUAACAGCAUCCUUCUCAGCUCUUUUCUCUGCUGUCAUUACUUGAAUGGCAAUAUGACCCUGGCUGGAUCCAGAGUCCGUCUCUCCUCAACCACCCAGUUAUCGCCCAAGAGUUCGGUGGAUAUUCUGGCUGAAUGUCCAGUUUUAGCAGCUCCCUAGAUAGCCGAGUGCAUUGAGUAGGACCCUCCUGGGCAAUCCUGGCAUCUCAGACCGCCAGGGGUCAUUUCGGCCCAUUUUUUGAUGAAUCUAUAUCCACACAAUUUACAUAAUGAAUGCCCAUCAGGAUGAGGAGCAAAGACCUUGCUGUUUAAGGUAGCUGUAACAUCAGGGCCAGCCCUGUCCACUCUGCCUAAAAUAAAACAUGUUAAUAUCUAGGAGUUCCCGUCGUGGCGCAGUGG
Molecule: non-coding RNA, 1301 nt
Organism: Sus scrofa (pig)
Lineage: Eukaryota; Metazoa; Chordata; Mammalia; Artiodactyla; Suidae
Source: RefSeq, a predicted model, not a curated record